GGUCGGCCUGGGGAGGGGAGGGCCCGGGACUCACCCCGGGGUGGGCACACUAGGGGAGCUCUAGGGGAGGCCCACCUGGGGUAGGCCCACCUGGGAGAGGACCCCCUGGGAGAGGCCCACCCACGAGAGUCCCACGUGGGAGAGUGGAAUUCCACCCGGGAGAGGCCCACCUGGGAGAGGACCCCCUGAGAGAGGACCGCCUGGGAGAGGCCCACCUGGGAGAGUGGAAUUCCACCCGGGAGAGGCCCACCUGGGAGAGGACCCCCUGAGAGAGGACCGCCUGGGAGAGGCCCACCUGGGAGAGUGGAAUUCCACCCAGGAGAGGCCCACCUGGGAGAGAACCCCCUGAGAGAGGACCGCCUGGGAGAGGCCCACCUGGGAGAGUGGAAUUCCACCCGGGAGAGGCCACCAUACCUACAUGGGAUCAAAUAAGCUGCCUGGACAUAGUUUUGAAACCUGAACGUCGUAUGUUUCUCAGGCUCCUAGAGCCCCACCCCGUCUUGAAGUUGGCAGCCUCAGAUCCCUGCUAAAUGACCAUAUUCCUUCCCAAAGACAGUUCUCAGAUGGGCCUUUGUUGGUAAAGACACUCCACACAUGGGUACAGCCUCGAUAAAAUAUUUAUCCCCUCAGAGAAAGUAUAUCCAAACAUAAUGUAGUAAGAGAUUUCCCAAAUCCAAGGGCAUUAAAUAUUAAAACUCAGUUUUCUAGUUACACAUUAGCCUUAAAUAUCAAGAGUGCAACACAAAAUUAUCACAGAACGCAGGAAAAGGAGAUGAGAAAGGCCGCAGAUGGGCAGCCAGGUGGGCCGGGGCACAGGGCAGGGUCGGAAAGGGUCCCCAGCCCAGGAGCUUCUGUGUCCGUGGAGUGGGGGGCACCACCCUCCUGGCCCGUGGAUGUGUUCAGCAACCUGGAACUGCUCGGGACCCAUAGUCCAGGCAUUCUUAUGGAGGCUCCAUCGCAGACAUGAAGGAUGAUGGUGGAUGAUCCCUGGAGGAGGGUGGGUGCAGGGUUGAGAGCUGCAGGUGCUAAUCCUGGCUGGUCUCUCUGGUGACUGGACCCCCUCCAGGAGCCACCAAGCCUCACCUCAUUUGAAUGGAAGAAUCUGCUGCCAUCACCCAGGAAAUUCGAGGGCUUUUGGAGCCCUGUGCGGGGUCUCGGGAGCAGAGACCAGAUCUAUUCAUUUCUCAUUUCAUCACCCCAUCUUGCCAGGUGAAAGCCAGGAAGAUGGGUGAAUUGUUGUUUAAAACAUCUCAGAAUAUAUACAUGAGCAGAAUGAGCAGAACAGAAGUUAAAGAUAGAGCUUCUUCCAGCGCAGAAAUGGCAGUUGCAUCAUACCUGUUUAGCAUCAUGGCUUCCAGCUAACUACCCAUCCAUUCACUGGAAGAUAUUUUUGAAGCCUUGCUGUGUCAUUAGAGCAGAGCCUCGUUCUGAACUCCUGGUCCAGCAGGCCCUGCUGCAGAGGCUGCUGCAGCUCAUGGCACACUUGGACAGCGGCAGCACUCUCUUCUCUGAGGCCUCUCUCUUCAACGUUUUGUAAGACUGUAUUUGCAUGUUUAUUUUUAUGUAAAUGCUGAAACAUCUGGUCUAGUUUAAAAAAUAAACACAAAACACAGCCAAAAGCACACUGUUGGCAUUUUCUCCGGUACAGGUUGAUUUAAAGAGAACUGCCGUAAGACCGUGUGUCUUCUGAUCCAGCCGCAGUGGGCUUUCUCACUCGCUUGCCUUCGGUGUGCAUCUGCUUGCUAAUACUAAGAAUUUGUGCCUCGAUAUUGAUAAGGAAGGUGAUUCUGUGAUAUUUUCAAACAAACAAUGUGGAAGCUUGAUCUUUCCUUCUGUGCUCCUGAACUGGUUCAUAGCAUUGUAAUUACAUGUUCCUUAAGGUUUGCGAGAACUUGUAAGGUGGACUUUUCUUUCUCAUUUGGAGCAAGUGUGUAUAUGUAUGUGUGUGUGUGGGUACG
RNAcentral lists this long non-coding RNA (1958 nucleotides) under Homo sapiens (human). RNAcentral's name for it is "HSALNT0360778". Lineage: Eukaryota; Metazoa; Chordata; Mammalia; Primates; Hominidae. The record is from RNAcentral.